Molecule: ribosomal RNA, 440 nt
Filed under: uncultured bacterium
Lineage: Bacteria
Description: partial 16S ribosomal RNA
Rfam family: Bacterial small subunit ribosomal RNA
Source: RNAcentral
CCUACGGGAGGCAGCAGUGGGGAAUAUUGCACAAUGGGGGAAACCCUGAUGCAGCGACGCCGCGUGAGUGAAGAAGUAAUUCGUUAUGUAAAGCUCUAUUAGCAGGGAAGAAAAUGACGGUACCUGAGUAAGAAGCCCCGGCUAACUACGUGCCAGCAGCCGCGGUAAUACGGAGGGGGCAAGCGUUAUCCGGAUUUACUGGGUGUAAGGGGCGCGUAGACGGCAGUGCAAGUCCGAAGUGAAAGGCGGGGGCUCAACCCCCGGACUGCUCUGGAAACUGUACGGCUGGAGAGCAGGUGAGGUAGGUGGAAUGCCUGGUGUAGCGGUGAAAUGCGUAGAGAUUAGAAAGAACACCAGUGGCGAAGGCAGCUUACUAAGCUAUAACUGACGUUGAGGCACGAAAGCGUGGGGAGCAAACAGGAUUAGAUACCCGAGUAGUC